GAUGAACGCUAGCGGCAGGCUUAACACAUGCAAGUCGAGGGGCAGCGUGAGGGUUAGCAAUAACCCUUGACGGCGACCGGCGCAAGGGUGCGUAACGCGUGAGCAACUUGCCCUUAUCAGGGGGAUAACCGGUGGAAACGCCGACUAAUACCCCAUGGCAUUGAGUUGAGGCAUCUCUACUCAAUUAAAGAAUUUCGGAUAAGGAUAGGCUCGCGUGACAUUAGCUAGACGGCGGGGUAACGGCCCACCGUGGCUACGAUGUCUAGGGGUUCUGAGAGGAAGGUCCCCCACACUGGAACUGAGACACGGUCCAG
RNAcentral lists this ribosomal RNA (314 nucleotides) under uncultured bacterium. RNAcentral's name for it is "bacterial SSU rRNA". It matches the Rfam family "Bacterial small subunit ribosomal RNA", at positions 28 to 334 of the family's 1533-position model. The record is from RNAcentral.